AGCUGGCUGGGUUUUUUAAAAAGUAGAAAUAUAGAUCGUUUCGUUAAAAAAAACCGGAUGUUUUUACGUCUUUCGCUUCAGUUUCUAUGGGCCUUCGAAGAAAAACAAACUAUGGGACCUGGCAUCAAAAUGACCAUUGGGGUAAACUGAAGACAAACCACUUCCAGAUGAACAGCAAUGGCUUGGACUUAUACCAAGGCGCUUCAAGCUGCCAGUAACAAAUGUUGGUAAUUGUACAACCUUUAGAAUUCUAUUUGUUUUAUAAUUUUUUAAACAAUUUCACAAGACAAAACACAAGGACAAUUUCAGCUUCAUCAUAAUUUUUAACAGUAAUUAUUUAAAAACGUGGCCGCAGGAGUAUACAGAAAAUAUUUCCAGUAGACCCUGUAAGGACCAUGGGACUUACCACCCCUAUCUCCAAAUUUGUUGAAUCCACCUCCACCACGACUGCCGCUGCAAUGAAGUAUGAAGUAGAAGUUAUGCAACUGUAGUCCUGCACAAGCCGUCGAGUCCUUGGUGUUCAUGCCCAGACCAGCUUGAGCAAGGCUAAACACCUAGUUAUCUCAUUGUAUUAACAUCUUACACCAGGUCCCAGGAUUUUAAAUUUAUAUCUUCAUCAAAACCCUUUUUGUAAAACCAGGAAGGUCAUACAAAUGAGCCUCCCAAUAUAACCACACAAUUAGUACUCAUCACCUUGAUUCACUUAUAUAUAAACUAAUUGUACUGCUUUGUGGCUCUGAUAUAUCAUUCAUUAAAUAGGAACAAUUUAAAUUAUAACUUACGUAUGGUCAGUAUAGUUCAGAAUUCAAGAAGACUUUGCGUAAAAUAAAAUACAGUACCUUUCAAUUGAUCUUAAAUUUAAGACCAGCAAUGAAUACCUUUUGUUGAAGGUUACACACAGUUUGGUUAUUCUCACAUUCUAAAUGUCUAUCCAACACACACAACCAAAUUACAGUAUUUUAGUUGAUACAUUUCAAGAACAGCAUUACAUUUUGAUUAUGUUUUCUAAGAAUGUUACUUUGUACUAAAAUAUAUAAAGUACUCCUACCUUACACCAGACAAGCAUAAACAAAGGCUUAAAAACAAUUUGUAAUUGACAUACCUUAAUAAAUUGAGCCAUAAACAUAAUUGUAUUAUGUUUGAAAAAUAAUAUAUAUAUUGUAAGCACUGUAGGAUUAUCUAUUCCAAUGACAAACUAGUCAUAUUUAUGAGUAAAAGAGUCCACUAAAAUGUUCUGACUGAGUUCUCAAGAAAAAAUCAUUUCAUUACUUCUCUUACAAUAAUGUGCUUCCUAUUUUUCUCCCUUACUUAUACACUAAAUUGUCAUUAUUAUUUGGUAUAGAGAUUCCUUCUGAACAAGAACAUUCAUUAGUUUACUGGAGAAAGUGCUUGUUUUAGCAUAAUAUGGUGUCCAACUGCUGUAAAAUGGCAUUCUGGUAUUUCUAAUGCCCUUUCAAUAACAUAAGUAAUGAAUCCUGCCAUGUCACCUCUUGAUAUCACUGCUUUAUUACACACAGAGGUUAGACCUACUCAUCACAAUAAAAUCUAGCCACAUAAAACCAGGCAAGGUAAUUGUAGAAAAACAAUGUAUUUUGGUAAAGCAGCAACAAACUAGACCGUAUACAAAGGAACAUACUGUGUUGCAAACCAUGCUAUUGCAAUAAUAGCUGCUCAGUAUACAGACAUAAAAAAAAAAAAAAAAUAGCUUUAA
Biomphalaria glabrata is the source of this 1711-nucleotide long non-coding RNA. RefSeq lists it as uncharacterized. Lineage: Eukaryota; Metazoa; Mollusca; Gastropoda; Planorbidae. The transcript has 2 exons. The record is from RefSeq and is a predicted model, not a curated record.